UGCAAGUCGAGGGGCAGCAGGUCUGUAGCAAUACAGAUGCUGGCGAGGGCAAACGGGUGCGGAACACGUACAGAACCUUCCUUCGAGCGGGGAAUAGCCCAGAGAAAUUUGGAUUAAUACCCCAUAGUAUACUGAAGAGGCAUCUCUUUAGUAUUAAAGAUUUAUCACUUGAAGAUGGCUGUGCGGCUGAUUAGGUAGUUGGCGGGGUAAAGGCCCACCAAGCCUGCGAUCAGUAACUGGUGUGAGAGCACGACCAGUCACACGGGCACUGAGACACGGGCCCGACUCCUACGGGAGGCAGCAGUAAGGAAUAUUGGUCAAUGGACGAAAGUCUGAACCAGCCAUGCCGCGUGAAGGAUGAAGGUCCUCUGGAUUGUAAACUUCUUUUAUAUGGGACGAAAAAAGGGUUUUCUAACUCAACUGACGGUACCAUAUGAAUAAGCACCGGCUAACUCCGUGCCAGCAGCCGCGGUAAUACGGAGGGUGCAAGCGUUAUCCGGAUUCACUGGGUUUAAAGGGUGCGUAGGUGGGUUGGUAAGUCAGUGGUGAAAUCCCCGAGCUUAACUCGGGAACUGCCAUUGAUACUAUCAGUCUUGAAUACCGUGGAGGUCAGCAGAAUAUGUCAUGUAGCGGUGAAAUGCUUAGAUAUGACAUAGAAUACCAAUUGCGAAGGCAGCUGGCUACCCGAAUAUUGACACUG
RNAcentral lists this ribosomal RNA (700 nucleotides) under uncultured bacterium. RNAcentral describes it as "bacterial SSU rRNA". It matches the Rfam family "Bacterial small subunit ribosomal RNA", at positions 56 to 748 of the family's 1533-position model. The record is from RNAcentral.